This 468-nucleotide ribosomal RNA is filed under the name uncultured bacterium. RNAcentral's name for it is "partial 16S ribosomal RNA". It matches the Rfam family "Bacterial small subunit ribosomal RNA", at positions 28 to 507 of the family's 1533-position model. The record is from RNAcentral.
GACGAACGCUGGCGGCGUGCUUAACACAUGCAAGUCGAACGGAAAGGCCCUGCUUUUGUGGGGUGCUCGAGUGGCGAACGGGUGAGUAACACGUGAGUAACCUGCCCUUGACUUUGGGAUAACUUCAGGAAACUGGGGCUCAUACCGGCUAUGAGCUCCUGCUGCUUGGUGUGGGUUGGAAAGUUUCGGCGGUUGGGGAUGGACUCGCGGCUUAUCAGCUUGUUGGUGGGGUAGUGGCUUACCAAGGCUUUGACGGGUAGCCGGCCUGAGAGUGUGACCGGCCACAUUGGGACUGAGAUACGGCCCAGACUCCUACGGGAGGCAGCAGUGGGGAAUAUUGCACAAUGGGCGGAAGCCUGAUGCAGCAACGCCACGUGCGGAAUGACGGCCUUCGGGUUGUGAACCGCUUUCGACUGUGACGAAGCGUGAGUGACGGUAAUGGGUAAAGAAGCACCGGCUAACUACGUG